GGGUUAGAGAAAUUACUGGUGGAGGAAUUCACAAUCUUCUGCAGCAACUUCACCUGCUACUUCAUCAUCAUAUUUACUUUCGAUACUGAUUAGAAGAGAAAGGGGAAGAAGGGAAAGAUAAAGGAAAAAUGCGUAGAAGAAGAUUACAAGAUUUAAGUAUUGUCCAGAAUACUCCAAAUUCGGAAGAAGGAAAUAGUGAACAGUAGACAGUUGUUGGAUCUUCGAAUGUGCCAGAGACACUUGACGAGCCUGAAGAAUUUCAAAGUAAUGUUAAGUUCAUUUUAGAUGUGUUGACCUUUAUUAUUGAUUUAUUUAUCAAUUUUAAUAUAAUUAUAG
Long non-coding RNA from Gossypium arboreum, 336 nucleotides. RefSeq lists it as uncharacterized. The record is from RefSeq and is a predicted model, not a curated record. The transcript has 2 exons. NCBI's taxonomy places the organism in Eukaryota, Viridiplantae, Streptophyta, Magnoliopsida, Malvales, Malvaceae.